Molecule: long non-coding RNA, 5625 nt
Filed under: Homo sapiens (human)
Lineage: Eukaryota; Metazoa; Chordata; Mammalia; Primates; Hominidae
Description: HSALNT0324652
Source: RNAcentral
GCAAUUGCUUUUGAGGACUUAGCCAGCGUUCUUUGCCAACGCCAACGUCAAGAAGACGUUGUCUUCCAGGAUGUUUAUAGUUUGACGUCUUGCAUUUGAGUCUUUAAUCCAUCUAGAGUUGAUUUUCGUCUAUGCGGAAGGGUAAGAGUCCAGUUUCCUUCUUCUGCCUGUGACUGAGCUGCUUAUCCCAGCACCAUCUAUCGGACAGGGAGUCCUUUCCCCGCGGCUUGUUUUCGUUGGUCUUGUCAAAGACCAGACGGGUGUAUGUGUGCAGCUUCAUGUCUGAGUUUUCUAUUCUGUUCUAUAUGAUAAUGAAACCAAAUCAAUGUCUCUGCUCAGACCCCUUCUGACAAGGUCUGUGGCGCCCACCAUGGCGUUAGGGCCACAGCCUCCUGCCCCAUGUGCCAGGCCCGGCUCUGCCCAGCUCCCUGCAGCUGCGCCAGUGUGUGCUGUGACUCGUGCUCCUGGUUUGUCAUCUGCCUCUCAGUAGACACCACGGCCUUCAAGCUUUCUCCGCUCCGUGACCAGCAGCUGGGACGGGACCAGCAGUGCAUGCGGCUCUGGAUUCAUGUUUGUUGAAUGACUGACUGAACGGAGGCUCCCUUACAGAAGUGAACGGCGCGGCCCUCCCUGAGUUCCGGCCUGGCUCUGGAUACCAAGGAGCAAGGUGGUCAGGGGUCAGGGGCUGGAGUGGGGAGAUUGCCUGGGAGGGGGCUGGAGGGUGUGGUGGAACUGCAGGUUCUCUCCUUGACAUGCCUGUGGGGGAGCCUUUCCCGGCCCUCUCUCCGCUGGUUUUCACCCUUUCUCCGGUGCAGCCACACUGGGCAUCCCACCCCAGGGAUCCAGGAAGGGGGCGUGUCGGCCGAGUGCGAGCCCGUUUCUGAACACCCUGUGAAGUUGGUGAGAAUUCAGGUGCCUAUCGGCCGGGCUCCACCUGUGCACCAGGUGUGGCCGCCUCACUGUGACUUCAAAGGUCCCCGGGGAGGAAGGAGGCUCCCAGCUGCACACAGCCACAGUCUAGUCCUAGCAGCAGUGACCUUGGUUUGGAGCCCGGGUUGGGGACCCCAGUGAUGCCAAUUUUCUUUGCCCUCAUCAUCCCAAGGCGGCUGCUGCAGUUUCAGACAUCACAACUUUGUUCAGCGCAAAGGAGAAGGGGGACAGGGGAUGAGAAAACUGGAGUUCGGAGAUGGGCUUGCUCACGGCCUCACAGCCAGGGAGCCUGCUCACCCCAGUGUGUGCCCAGCCAGAAACCUGCGUCUGGGCCCCCAGAGGCUGGGCUCCUCACAGUGGGGACCCACCAUGUCCACUGCCUGCAGGAACCGACAGAGAGGCUGUGAUGCUGAGCCCCGGCCUCAUGCAACAAAGCUUUGCCCGACGGAAUGCACCCAGCGGCAGUGGAGAGCAGUGCUGGAUCCUGCGGGGUUGAGGCGGUGGAGCUUGGCCGUACAUGAAGUGUAGUGCCAGGAUCUGCUUCUGAUGAGGCCUCAGGAAGCUUCCAGUUGUGGUGGAAGGAUGACCCACGCCAUUCAGGAAGGACCCACUCCUGUGAUCCAAACACCUCCUACCAGCCCCCACCUCCAGCACUGGUGAUUACAUUUCAACAUGAGAUCUGUGGGGACAAACAUCUAAACCAUAUCGAGUGGGCUCAGGAGGCAGCAGCCCUGGAAGAUGCCGAGUGCCUGGGAGGACAGAGGAAGAUGCCGGAGUUCACGGGUGCCAUGUGCAGGUGCAGCUCCUGCCAGGCGGCUGAAGAUGGGGCUCCAGGUGGUGGCAGUGCCCCAGCCCCACCAGUCCUUCCUGGGGAGAGGGUCACGGCUCAGUGGCUGAAGGGCUGGGGGGCUUGUCUGAAAGGAGUGAAUGCCUGCCCAUCAGGCACUUUCGGAAAAAGCUGGAAACCAAGAUUUCCCUGAGAAGUCCUGGGCUUUCUGGUGUUGGGAACUAUAGGAAGCAGCCGGCUUCUGCUUCCCCUCCAGGGUCCAGGAGAGAAUUUGUUUUGGACAAACCUUCUAGGCCACAUGCUUGGAGCACCUCUGACCUCACCCAGUGCCAUGCCCCCCAGCUGAGGCCCGGCCCCUGCAUGUGUUCAGGGAUGUGAGGUCAGGGAGUGGUUCAGGGAUGUGAGGCCUAGCACUGGUCCGCAGGCCUCUGGGAGCCCUCUGGGCCCCUUGCAGAGCGGGGCAGCACUUGGCUGAGGACUGCGAGGGCUGAGCUGUCCUGACCCAGUCCUGGGAUAGCAGAGCCGCCCACCCUGCCUGGGGGCUCCUGGGUGUCUCCUGCAGCCACGCCACUUGUAGCUGGGUUCUGUCCUGGGACAGCAGAGACACCCAGCCUGUCUCAGGUCUCCAGGGCGUCUCCUGCAGCCACGCCACUUGUAGCUGGGCUCUGUGCUUGUUGUCAGUGCAGCCCCAGCAGCCCAGAGCGGUUCACAAGCUCCCAGACCGAUUUACCUGCUCCAGUGAAACUCCUAUGAGGGCACUGAAACUUCCCAUUAUUACAGGGCUCCGGCCCACAGCCAUGGGGAUGCCCCUUCCCACACCAGCUCCUGCAACUGGAAGGCUGUGGGCCACUCACUCUGAAGCCUCCCCUUUCCAGACACAAGGGCAGGAGUCAAGGGCAGUGGCAACAUCCCCCAGAGAUGCCGAUGGACGGUGUUUCAACCUAAAUCGGACAGCCGCACUCCCUCCCUGGCCACACAGCAGGACAGAGACCAGGACACAGCGGCCCACCCGCUGCCCUCACACUCCCCUCCUCCACGGUGUGAACUAAACCGCACACGUGGCCUGUUACUCGGACAAGGUGGGAAGGUGUGGCCCCACCCCCUCCUAAGACAUUACGAUGCGGAGAACCCCCAAGCCCACCCUCAACUGUGUUCACUGGAAACAGCCCAGCAAGGGCUACGUGUGCCUUCCGGUUUCACAUUUGGGAAGUGGGUAAAAUGCAGUAUUGACAGUUCUCAAAUAUUGGUGUUGAUCUUAACUGCUAGAGAUACCGUGAGGGAAAAGAGCGCUUUUGUUCAACGUUUAUGAAUGGAUAAAGGAGGAACUGAAACCAGCAAAGGGGCGGCUGGCCCUGGACCAGACGCGGCUUCGCCGAGGAGCUGUGGGCAGGGUGGGCCGGCACCUCCUUUCCUCUCGAGAAGGAUGUGGAGAGCAGGUGGCUCGUGCCACCUGCCUCCCUGGCCCUCGUCCAUGCCUCUGCACUGACCGCUGGGCUCCUGCCGCCCGGGGAUGUGGGGAAAGGCCUUGGAGUGGGAUGGAGGUCCGCGUGUGGGUGUGUGGCAGGUACCGGUGGAUUGAGGUCCAUGUGUGGGUGUGAACCUGGGUGUGAGACUGUGUGUGGGUGGGUGUGUACGUGAGUGUGCAUGUGCACGUACACCUGUGUAUGUAUGCGUGUGAGGUGUGUGAACUGUGAGUGUGCUGUGGCUGUGAGCGUGUGCACACGUGAACUGAGCGUGACAGUGCGAAUGUGUGUGCCGCGAAUUCCACUGGCCACAUGAAUGCAGGCGAGGCCGCUCCGCUAGGCUGUGGAUUUCCAGCAUGGCCACGCUGGUUGCCUGUGUUGUCUUGUUGACACAGGAUGGAGAAAGAACGAUGCAGGAUGCAUCUCUGAGCCUGGCUCAGGCACCCAGAGGGAGCUGGGUUUGGGAGCAGCUGCUCUGCGUAGCCCUGGCUUGGAUGCUGCGAGCCAGGUUUAGGGAUGCCAGUGAGACCCGCUGAAGCGUUGGGGCCCUACCCGAGGUGAGGCGUGCCCAGGUCUGGGGACUCCUGUCUUGGGGCCCCUCCCAGGAGAACCACCCCCCUCCUCUGGCAGGAAGCCCCCAAAGCUGUGGAGGAGCCCUGGGCCCACAGACAGCAUCCCUGCUGCUGGGGACCCCAGGCCUGUGCGGGUGCCGCUGCCAUGGGGCUGAUGGGGCCCAGCCCAGCAGCCCCUGCCUUUGCUUUCCCGGCUUCUCUGCGGCUCUGUGCUUUUGCUGCCCCAUUCCAGGCCGGAAGGCUCCCGCGCCUCCAUGGAUCUUCAUGAUUUGGCCAACCAGAGUGAGCACCGUGAGGAAGUGGAGACAGACACAACUUUCAGCAGCAGAAGACAGGAUAAUAAAGUUGGGUUUGGUUUAUGAUCUAACGUGACCAUUAAAAGUGUUUAAUAAACAACGUUAAAGACUACUUAGUGGCAGAUGCAUCCGGCAAUGCUUAGCAUAGCCUCAUGACUGUCAAUACGCACAGGCUUGAAAAACACCUGCAGGAUACAUGUGGGCAUGUUAGUGUGGGUUAUCUCAGCAGGGCGGCAUAUCGAAUCUCGGUGCCCUUCUGUAGUGUCUAUAUUUUCUACAGUGAAGCUGGGAUACUUUGGUGAGCAGAGGCAUUGUUUUCAAAGUUCCCAUUGGUACUUCCAUCACAUCCCCGUGUGGUUCUGUCCUGGACCGGCUGCCCACUGAGGUCCCACUCGCCCCUACCCUGCCCUGUCUGGCCAGCUGGGUACCUGCCCAGGAGGAAGAGGCUCAGUGUUUGGGGCCUGUGUUAUGCCCUGAAAAGCCACUGCUGUUGGGUGAGGGCCCAUGAGGCCUUCAGUUUGCCAUCGUCAUGUGCUUCUGAAGAGCCAGGAUGCUGUCCACUGUUUGUCUCCUGGCGGGACAGAAUUCCACUCAGUGCAUAUCAGGGGCAGUGAUGGGGCUGGGGGUGUGAGGGCUCAGCUGUGCCCUGAACUCCUUCACAGUCUUGCAGGAGGGGUCAUGGAGCCAUAUCUGGGUUUGCAAUUUUUGGAAAGUUACGUGACGAUCUGCACUCAGGAAUGCUGAGUGUUCGGCAGGCCCCAUGAACAGUGAUCAAAUGUGACGCUGUGUGUCCCACAGCCUAAGGGCUGUGGCAGAGACCAGGAGGGCCAUCAGCUCCCACAGCUUUCGAGUCCACCUCAGGGCUCCUCCUUGCUGACCUCCCUGGGUUGUCAGUGGAGACAGCCACCCUCCCACAGAGCACCUGCCUGAAAUGGGCCAGGCCGCCCCUGUGCCCUGGCUCUUGCUGCACAUGCUGAGGUCAGCACGGAGGCGCCCUCGGGCACCAGCAUGCCCUCGGGUUUGCAGCUUGUCAAAUAUCCCAUGAAGGCAACCUGACCAAAUGUGCUCUAACACCACUGGACCAAUGGAACGUCUUGGGCUGAACAGAUGCAGCCUUGCAUCCACCGCCUGCCACCACCCUCUGUGUACACCCCCUGCACACACCUCUGCACACACCCCCCCUGCACACUGUUGCACAUACCCCCUGCACACAGCCUGUGUACACUCCCUGCACAGAUCCCCUGCACACAACUCCCUCACACAUCCUCUGCACAAACCCUGUGUAUACCCCCUGCACACACCUCUACACAUACCUUCACACACCAUGUAUACCUCCUGCACACACCUCUGCACACACCUCCUGCACACACCUUGUGUACACUCCCUGCACACUGUUGCACACACCCCCUGCACAUAGCCUCUGCACACAGCCUGUGUACACUCCCUGCACAGAUCCCCUGCACACACCUCCCACACACAUCCUCUGCACAAACCCUGUGUAUACCUCCUGCACACACAUCUACACACACCUCCUGCACACACCUUGUGUACACCCCCUGCACACUGUUGCACACACC